This 462-nucleotide ribosomal RNA is filed under the name uncultured Planctomycetota bacterium. RNAcentral describes it as "bacterial SSU rRNA". It matches the Rfam family "Bacterial small subunit ribosomal RNA", at positions 382 to 844 of the family's 1533-position model. The record is from RNAcentral. Lineage: Bacteria; Pseudomonadati; Planctomycetota.
CCUGACCGAGCGACGCCGCGUGCGGGAUGAAGGCCUUCGGGUUGUAAACCGCUGUCGUAGGGGAGGAAGGUUUGGUGUAUAGCCAAGCUUGACCGAUCCUAGGAGGAAGGGCCGGCUAAUCUCGUGCCAGCAGCCGCGGUAAUACGAGAGGCCCAAACGUUAUUCGGAAUUACUGGGCUUAAAGAGUUCGUAGGCGGCAUUGCAAGUAGGGUGUGAAAGCCCUCGGCUCAACCGAGGAAUUGCGCUCUAAACUGCAGUGCUUGAGGAACCUAGAGGUGAGCAGAACAGAUGGUGGAGCGGUGAAAUGCGUUGAUAUCAUCUGGAAUACCGGAGGCGAAGGCGGCUCACUGGGAGUUUUCUGACGCUGAGGAACGAAAGCCAGGGUAGCGAACGGGAUUAGAUACCCCGGUAGUCCUGGCCGUAAACGAUGAGCACUAGGCCGGAGCCCUGCACAGGGUUUCG